UCCGCGGUAGCUCAGCAGGUAGAGCGCUUGACUGUUAAUCAGGAUGUCGUAGGUUCAAGUCCUACCCGCGGAGCCA
RNAcentral lists this transfer RNA (76 nucleotides) under Planctomycetota bacterium. Its description in RNAcentral is "tRNA-Asn". It matches the Rfam family "tRNA". From Rfam's summary of the family: Transfer RNA (tRNA) molecules are approximately 80 nucleotides in length. Their secondary structure includes four short double-helical elements and three loops (D, anti-codon, and T loops). Further hydrogen bonds mediate the characteristic L-shaped molecular structure. tRNAs have two regions of fundamental functional importance: the anti-codon, which is responsible for specific mRNA codon recognition, and the 3' end, to which the tRNAs corresponding amino acid is attached (by aminoacyl-tRNA synthetases). tRNAs cope with the degeneracy of the genetic code in two manners: having more than one tRNA (with a specific anti-codon) for a particular amino acid; and 'wobble' base-pairing, i.e. permitting non-standard base-pairing at the 3rd anti-codon position. Lineage: Bacteria; Pseudomonadati; Planctomycetota. The record is from RNAcentral.